UCAUUGUAAUUUUGAUUUGCAUUUCUCUAAUGAUCAGUGAUGUUGAGCUUUUUUUUCAAAUGUCUGUUGGCUACAUGAAUGCCUUCUUUUAAGAAAUGUCUUUUCAUGUCCUUUGCCCACUCUUUUUUUUUUUUUCUUUUGAGGUGGAGUCUUGCCUGAUUUAUUGAGAGUUUUUAACAUGAAGGGAUGUUGAAUUUUAUGGAAGAUCUUUUCUGCAUCUA
Molecule: long non-coding RNA, 221 nt
Filed under: Pan troglodytes (chimpanzee)
Lineage: Eukaryota; Metazoa; Chordata; Mammalia; Primates; Hominidae
Description: long non-coding RNA NONPTRT017729
Source: RNAcentral